ACUGAACGCUGGCGGCAGGCUUAACACAUGCAAGUCGAGCGGAGUGAUGGAGCUUGCACUAUCACUUAGCGGCGGACGGGUGAGUAAUGCUUAGGAAUCUGCCUAUUAGUGGGGGACAACAUCUCGAAAGGGAUGCUAAUACCGCAUACGUCCUACGGGAGAAAGCAGGGGAUCACUUGUGACCUUGCGCUAAUAGAGGAGCCUAAGUCGGAUUAGCUAGUUGGUGGGGUAAAGGCCUACCAAGGCGACGAUCUGUAGCGGGUCUGAGAGGAUGAUCCGCCACACUGGGACUGAGACACGGCCCAGACUCCUACGGGAGGCAGCAGUGGGGAAUAUUGGACAAUGGGGGGAACCCUGAUCCAGCCAUGCCGCGUGUGUGAAGAAGGCCUUAUGGUUGUAAAGCACUUUAAGCGAGGAGGAGGCUCUUUUGGUUAAUACCCAAGAUGAGUGGACGUUACUCGCAGAAUAAGCACCGGCUAACUCUGUGCCAGCCGCCGCCGUAA
Molecule: ribosomal RNA, 503 nt
Filed under: uncultured bacterium
Lineage: Bacteria
Description: partial 16S ribosomal RNA
Rfam family: Bacterial small subunit ribosomal RNA
Source: RNAcentral